UGCUUUGCUGUCUGUAUCAGACACCUGUUAUUUCGUUUGUUUGCCACGGCCUGCCACCGCUUUGACCUGUGUGUUUUGGUAGCUGACCCAUAGGCAGAAAGAGAGAGGCGUUGAUCUGUCUCUCUUAGUUGUUGAUCCAUAGAGAGAGAGAGAGAGAGAGAGAUUUGAUGCACAGAGAAACGGAGAGAUAGAGAGAGGGCGAAGAGUUUGUAUGAUCGAGCCCGGAGUUCAGCAGCCUGGAGAUUUGACGAUUUUUGUCUCACGGAUAUAUAUAGGUCGUCGUUUGCUGAUCAGUUUUGGUUCUGCUUCUUUAACAUCCCUGUUUGAUUUCUUCAAAAUUUAUUCACAUGUCAAUGAUUUACGGUCUGGGCUGUACCAGAUUUUCUAGGAAGAAGUAAUUGAUAGCUUCUAGGAAACUAGAGUCCAAGACGGUACCUUUGAUAUGACAAAUUCAAAAUAUGGUGGAAAGCCCUACAUUGAUAUCAGCAAGUGAAAGAAGGGAAUGACUGCAAACAGAAGAUGGUUACUGCACUGCGGCCGUAUUGGAUCAAUGGCUAUCGGAUAAUAUAAAGACACAUUAUCAUGUUUUGUAACUGGGUGAUGAUGUAUAUGAUGCCAUGUUGAACCAGACGAAUGUUGGCCAUACCAAUAACAAGUUCUAUGUGCUUCAAGUUCUUGAAUCCGAUGAUGGUGGUAAUUUUGUGGUUCACUAUAGAUUGGGGGAGAGUAGGUGUCAAGGGUUAAAUGGAGGGGUUUGUAAUAAUAAGAUGGUGGAAACUGAACCUACUUGGAACUGUCGCACUUUGGGGUAUGCCUUUCUCAAGUAAGUUUAAAUGUUGACGAAGCCUAAUGGUAAGAGAUUUUAUGCAAGCAUAGAUGGACAAGGAGAUAUGAAGUUCAUUUAUGGGACCAAGGGUCUUGGCAUCCAACAUAAAGGAAGAAGGGAAAGCAAGUUUAUCUAGGAAAGUACUUAAUUACUAACUAGACUGCUCAAAACCACUUAAUUGUCAGAUAAACAUAUCUUGAAUCAUCAAACACAGAAUGUAUAUGCAAGGGUUUAUGGUGAAGAAGAAUCCGCAGUAAGAGCAUAUGAUUUGGCAGCACUCAAGUACCGGGGAACAUCGACUUUCAAAAAUUUUUCAAUGUCUGAUUAUGAGAAUGAAAUUGAUCUAAUGAAGACACUUUAACAUUAGAAGAAUACUUGGCCUCUCUAAGAAGAAGAAGCAGUGGCUUUUCAAGUGGUGUAUCCAAGGACAAAGGAGUUGCAAGGACAAUGGCAAUUAAAACCCUUCAUCAAAUGUGACUGUUCUGAUAAUGUCACUUGCCACAUUACCCAGCUGUAAUUUAGUCUCUUACUGUCUUUGUUUUUAUUUUGAUGCCACUCUGAACAACCAUACUUUACCUUCAAAAUCACAUCCAUCCAAUGAUCAUGAUUUGCAUUUGCAUGAAAGUCUAUACGUUGGAUGUUGUUGUCCUACUUCCACAUGAGCUAUGGACAUCGAGCUACCUAUUCAAUCUGUAUGUUGUGAUAAAUUAUUGUGCUCGAGUUUCACAUUUAGCUGGCCAAGUUUAGUACCAAAUUUGUAAUAUUUGUCAUAUUUUGAAAUAUGUAAAUACACGUCUGAUUAGAAUACCAGCUUUUGUAGUCUGUAAAUAAAUAACAACUUCAAUUAUAGUACAUAUUUGGCAUGAAAGUAAGCCAACGUUUCUUGAA
Rosa rugosa (rugosa rose) is the source of this 1714-nucleotide long non-coding RNA. RefSeq lists it as uncharacterized. The transcript is spliced from 6 exons. The record is from RefSeq and is a predicted model, not a curated record. Lineage: Eukaryota; Viridiplantae; Streptophyta; Magnoliopsida; Rosales; Rosaceae.